UACUGCCAGACUUGGAACCGGGAGAGGUAAGAGGUACUACAGGGUAGGAGUGAAAUCUUGUAAUCCCUGUGGGACCACCUGUGGCGAAGGCGUCUUACCAGAACGGGUUCGACGGUGAGGGACGAAAGCUGGGGGGCACGAACCGGAUUAGAUACCCGGGUAGUCCCCAGCCGUAAACGAUGCUCGCUAGGUGUCAGGCAUGGCGCGACCGUGUCUGGUGCCGCAGGGAAGCCGUGAAGCGAGCCACCUGGGAAGUACGGCCGCAAGGCUGAAACUUAAAGGAAUUGGCGGGGGAGCACAACAACGGGUGGAGCCCCUGCGGUUUAAUUGGACUCAACGCCGGACAACUCACCGGGGGCGACAGCAAUAUGUAGGCCAAGCUGAAGACUUUGCCUGAAUCGCUGAGUAGAGGUGCAUGG
RNAcentral lists this ribosomal RNA (419 nucleotides) under uncultured archaeon. Its description in RNAcentral is "bacterial SSU rRNA". It matches the Rfam family "Archaeal small subunit ribosomal RNA", at positions 582 to 997 of the family's 1478-position model. The record is from RNAcentral.